UGAGGAACAUGACCUUUCGGCGGGGGAUAGCCGGCCCAACGGCCGGGUAAUACCGCGUACGACCACUU
Molecule: ribosomal RNA, 68 nt
Filed under: uncultured bacterium
Lineage: Bacteria
Description: partial 16S ribosomal RNA
Source: RNAcentral